RNAcentral lists this ribosomal RNA (464 nucleotides) under uncultured bacterium. RNAcentral describes it as "partial 16S ribosomal RNA". It matches the Rfam family "Bacterial small subunit ribosomal RNA", at positions 28 to 507 of the family's 1533-position model. The record is from RNAcentral.
GACGAACGCUGGCGGCGUGCUUAACACAUGCAAGUCGAACGGAAAGGCCCCUUUGGGGGUACUCGAGUGGCGAACGGGUGAGUAACACGUGAGUAACCUGCCCUUGACUUCGGGAUAACUUCAGGAAACUGGGGCUAAUACCGGAUAGGAAUCCUUGCUGCAUGGUGGGGGUUGGAAAGCUUCGGCGGUUUUGGAUGGACUCGCGGCUUAUCAGCUUGUUGGUGGGGUAGUGGCUUACCAAGGCUUUGACGGGUAGCCGGCCUGAGAGGGCGACCGGCCACAUUGGGACUGAGAUACGGCCCAGACUCCUACGGGAGGCAGCAGUGGGGAAUAUUGCACAAUGGGCGGAAGUCUGAUGCAGCAACGCCGCGUGCGGGAUGACGGCCUUCGGGUUGUAAACCGCUUUCAGCAGGGGCGAAGCUUUUGUGACGGUACCUGCAGAAGAAGCACCGGCUAACUACGUG